GAGUCAUUGUAGCAUACAAGGCAUACGGCUCAGUAACGCGUAGUCAACCUAACCUAUGGACGGGAAUAACCUCGGGAAACUGAGAAUAAUGCCCGAUAGAACAUUAUGCCUGGAAUGGUUUAUGUUCCAAAUGAUUUAUCGCCGUAGGAUGGGACUGCGGCCUAUCAGUUUGUUGGUGAGGUAAUGGCCCACCAAGACUAUUACAGGUACGGGCUCUGAGAGGAGUAGCCCGGAGAUGGGUACUGAGACACGGACCCAGGCCCUAUGGGGCGCAGCAGGCGAGAAAACUUUGCAAUGUGCGAAAGCACGACAAGGUUAAUCCGAGUGGUUUCUGCUAAAGAAACCUUUUGUCAGUCCUAGAAACACUGAUGAAUAAGGGGUGGGCAAGUUCUGGUGUCAGCCGCCGCGGUAAAACCAGCACCUCAAGUGGUCAGGAUGAUUAUUGGGCCUAAAGCAUCCGUAGCCGGCUCUGUAAGUUUUCGGUUAAAUCUGUACGCUCAACGUACAGGCUGCCGGGAAUACUGCAGAGCUAGGGAGUGGGAGAGGUAGACGGUACUCGGUAGGAAGGGGUAAAAUCCUUUGAUCUAUUGAUGACCACCUGUGGCGAAGGCGGUCUACCAGAACACGUCCGACGGUGAGGGAAGAAAGCUGGGGGAGCAAACCGGAUUUAGAUACCCGGGUAGUCCCAGCUG
This 692-nucleotide ribosomal RNA is filed under the name uncultured crenarchaeote. Its description in RNAcentral is "bacterial SSU rRNA". It matches the Rfam family "Archaeal small subunit ribosomal RNA", at positions 55 to 753 of the family's 1478-position model. Lineage: Archaea; Thermoproteati; Thermoproteota. The record is from RNAcentral.